GACCUGGCUGGGCGGUCCGCUUAACGGCGUGUACUGUCUGGCUGGGCCUUACCUCUUGGUGAGCCGGCGUGCCCUUUAUUGGUGUGCGUCGGGGAACCAGGACUUUUACCUUGAGAAAAUUAGAGUGUUUAAAGCAGGCAUCCGCUUGAAUACAUUAGCAUGGAAUAACAGAAUAAGACU
Molecule: ribosomal RNA, 180 nt
Filed under: uncultured Glomeromycotina
Lineage: Eukaryota; Fungi; Glomeromycota
Description: partial small subunit ribosomal RNA
Source: RNAcentral